GGUUGAUCCUGCCAGUCAUAUAUGCUUGUCUUAAAGAUUAAGCCAUGCAUGUCUAAGUAUAAACACUUGUACUGUGAAACUGCGAAUGGCUCAUUAUAUCAGUUAUAGUUUACUCAACACUCACUUCUACAUGGAUAACCGUGGGAAACCAGAGCUAAUACAUGCGUCAAUGGGCAGCAAUGCCCAGUAUUUAUUAGGUACAAACCAACACUCGUUGCGUUGAUUCACAGUAACUGCACGGAUCGCACGGCCUUGUGCCGGCGACAGGUUGAUCAAAUUUCUGCCCUAUCAA
Molecule: ribosomal RNA, 292 nt
Filed under: uncultured eukaryote
Lineage: Eukaryota
Description: partial 18S ribosomal RNA
Rfam family: Eukaryotic small subunit ribosomal RNA
Source: RNAcentral